UAUUCUGCCCCGCGGGGAAGGAUGAGAAGCUUCGACUAAGGUUCGACUCGAGCGUCAGCGAGAGAACGUUGCCGCAGGCAACGGCCCGAAGGGCGAGGCGCUUUAGCGCAGAGUAAUCCUUCCCCCACCACCA
This 133-nucleotide small RNA is filed under the name Klebsiella aerogenes. RNAcentral's name for it is "RtT sRNA". It matches the Rfam family "RtT RNA". From Rfam's summary of the family: This family represents a bacterial cis-regulatory element known as RtT RNA. Lineage: Bacteria; Pseudomonadati; Pseudomonadota; Gammaproteobacteria; Enterobacterales; Enterobacteriaceae. The record is from RNAcentral.